AUUGAACGCUGGCGGAAUGCUUUACACAUGCAAGUCGAACGGCAGCACGGACUUCGGUCUGGUGGCGAGUGGCGAACGGGUGAGUAAUGUAUCGGAACGUGCCCAGUCGUGGGGGAUAACGUAGUGAAAAUUACGCUAAUACCGCAUACGAUCUAUGGAUGAAAGCGGGGGAUCGCAAGACCUCGCGCGAUUGGAGCGGCCGAUAUCAGAUUAGGUAGUUGGUGGGGUAAAGGCCCACCAAGCCAACGAUCUGUAGCUGGUCUGAGAGGACGACCAGCCACACUGGAACUGAGACACGGGCCAGACUCCGACGGGAGGCAGCAGUGGGGAAUUUUGGGCAAUGGGCGAAAGCCUGAUCCAGCCAUUCCGGGUGCAGGAUGAAGGCCCUCGGGUUGUAAACUGCUUUUGUACAGAACGAAAAGGUUUCUACUAAUACUAGGAGCUCAUGACGGUACUGUAAGAAUAAGCACCGGCUAACUACGUGCCAGCAGCCGCCGUAA
Molecule: ribosomal RNA, 500 nt
Filed under: uncultured bacterium
Lineage: Bacteria
Description: partial 16S ribosomal RNA
Rfam family: Bacterial small subunit ribosomal RNA
Source: RNAcentral